GACGAACGCUGGCGGCGUACCUAACACAUGCAAGUCGAGCGAGAACGCCUCCUUCGGGAGGUUAGUAAAGCGGCGAACGGGUGAGUAACACGUGAGCGAUCUACCCGACGGCGGGGGAUAACCCAGGGAAACCUGAGCUAAUACCGCAUACAGCACCGGCUUGGAAGCCGGAUGUGAAAGCUGGCCUCUCGAAGAAGCUGGCACCAUCGGAUGAGCUCGCGGCCUAUCAGCUAGUUGGUGGGAUAACGGCCUACCAAGGCGAUGACGGGUAGCUGGCGUGAGAGCGUGGCCAGCCACACUGGGACUGAGACACGGCCCANACUCCUACNGGAGGCAGCAGUGGGGAAUAUUGCGCA
Molecule: ribosomal RNA, 356 nt
Filed under: uncultured bacterium
Lineage: Bacteria
Description: bacterial SSU rRNA
Rfam family: Bacterial small subunit ribosomal RNA
Source: RNAcentral